This 407-nucleotide ribosomal RNA is filed under the name uncultured bacterium. RNAcentral's name for it is "partial 16S ribosomal RNA". It matches the Rfam family "Bacterial small subunit ribosomal RNA", at positions 30 to 526 of the family's 1533-position model. The record is from RNAcentral.
AUUGAACGCUAGCGGGAUGCCUUACACAUGCAAGUCGAACGGAGUGGCGAACGGGUGCGUAAUGUAUCUGUACGUGCCCAGUAGCGGGGGAUAACUACGCGAUAGCGUAGCUAUUACCGCAUACUUUUGGAGCGGCCGCUAUCGGUUUAGUUAGCUGGUGGGGUAACGGCCCACCAAGGCGACGAUCCGUAGCUGGUUUGAGAGGACGACCAGCCACACUGGAACUGAGACACGGUCCAGACUCCUACGGGAGGCAGCAGUGGGGAAUUUUGGACAAUGGGGGAAACCCUGAUGCAGCCAUGCCGCGUGUGCGAUGAAGGCCUUCGGGUUGUAAAGCACUUUUAGCGGGGAAGCGGUACCCGCAGAAUAAGCACCGGCUAACUACGUGCCAGCAGCCGCGGUAAUUC